AAAUUGAAGAGUUUGAUCAUGGCUCAGAUUGAACGCUGGCGGCAAAAUUUCAACAUCUGAGAUCAGACGGUAGCAGAGCGGCUUGCUGUUUCUGCUGACGAAAGUGAGGACCGGUGAAGUAAUGUAUAGAGCAUACCUGAUGGAGGGAUAACUACUAGAGCAGUACUUUGUACCGCAUAACGUCGCAGACCAAAGAGGGAAAUCAGGCCUCUUACCAUCGGAUGUUAACAGAUGGGAUUAGCUUGUUGGGCGGUAAACAGCUCACCAGGCGAUCAGCUGGUCUGAAGGAUGACAGCCACACUGGAACUGAGACACAGUCCAGACUCUACGGGAGGCAGCAGUGGGAAUAUUGCAGUGGGCUGCGGCCUGAUGCAACCAUGCCGCGUGCCGGAAGAGGCCUUCGGGUUGUAAAAGAAACAGCGGGGAGAAGGGUAAAGGGUCAGCCCUUUGCUUUCAUUGCCACCGAGCACCAACUAACUCCCGUGCAGCCACCUUGGUAAUACGGAGGGAGUGCAAGCGUUAAUCAGAAUUACUGAAUAAAAAGCGCGGGCGGUUGUUAAGUCAGUCAUGAAGUCCCGUCAGCUGGGGCUGCAUAGAAAUGCAGCAGACAGAGGUGGUAGAAUUCCAGUGUAGCGAGGUGAAAUGCAUGAGAGAUCUGGAGGAACACCGGUGGCGAGGCGUACUGGACAGCAACCUCAGGUGCAGCGUAGAGCAAACCGGGAUUAGAUACACGGUAAUUCCGCGCGUAAAGCGAUGUCGACUUGGGUUGUGCACCCCUUGAGGCGUAGCUUCCCGGAGACUAACGUUAGAGUCGACCGCCACGGUACCGGGGUGCCAAAACCGAUAAUGGAAUUGACGGGGGCCACGGCGGUGGAGCAUGUGGUUUAAUUCAUUACAGCGCGAAGACACCACAGAUGUGACAUCCGCGGAGAUUUCGGUGCGGUACUGGGAACGCAAUGAGACGGGUGCAUGGCUGUCAUCAACUCGAUGACUGGCCAGUAUUGGGUUAGGUGAUCCACAACGAGCGCAACCUUAUCACUUUGUUGCCAACGGUCGGCCAGGGAACUCAAAAGGAGACUGGUAAACGGGGGAAAGGGUGGGGAUGGCAGAGUCAUGUCGCGCCGACUGAGGGAGCUACACGCAUGCUACAAUGGCUGCCCCAAAGAAGGCGACUCGCGAGAGCAAGCGGACCCUCAUAAAGUGCGUCGUAGUCCGGAUUGAGUCUACGCUCUCGACUCCAUGAAGUCGGAAUCGCUAAUCGACCGGGUUAAAGAUACCACGGUGGAAGCAAUUCCACAGCCUUGUACACUGCCGUCACACACGGGGAGUGGUUGCAAAAGAAGUGAUGCUUAACCA
RNAcentral lists this ribosomal RNA (1356 nucleotides) under Escherichia coli. RNAcentral describes it as "16S ribosomal RNA". It matches the Rfam family "Bacterial small subunit ribosomal RNA". The record is from RNAcentral. Lineage: Bacteria; Pseudomonadati; Pseudomonadota; Gammaproteobacteria; Enterobacterales; Enterobacteriaceae.